This 961-nucleotide long non-coding RNA is filed under the name Homo sapiens (human). RNAcentral describes it as "HSALNT0151573". The record is from RNAcentral. Lineage: Eukaryota; Metazoa; Chordata; Mammalia; Primates; Hominidae.
CGCUUUUGCAUAACUUCAGUAGAUAAAGCAUGCUGAGGUCAUGUCAGGUCAUUUCAAGCUCUUCUGUGUCGAGCUAAGGAGCUGCUCUGUGCCCGGCUUACAGAACUGGAAGGGGUAGCCACCUUCCGCCUGAUGGAGGCUGGAGAACGGAUGGAACCUGGAUCCCUGGAGCCUGGGACACUACCUCGCUGCGCUUUUGCUGUGUUGGGCACUUGCUCCCAUCUGCUUUCUUCUCUAGAAUCCACUGCCCUAGAAUGAGUAAUUUUUCUUAGAAGCAGAGUUGGAACCACUGAGGAAGCACAGGACCACCAGAACAACACCAUCAUGGCCCUGUCACCAGGCCCAGUUUGGCUCCAUGAUAACCAAGACGCAGGUCCAGAGACAACCGCCCUGCUUGAUGCCUGCAUCUGACCUCCCUUGGUGGGUAGUGAUGAGCACAACAUGGAAGAAGCCAGGGCAGCUUGUGGCCAGCUGCCCUACAGCCCCAGAUGGCUGGGGACAAGGAUUCCAAAAGGAUGAUUUUAGAGCUGUAGGAUUGAAUGACUGGCCUGCUGGGUUUUGGAUGUUCAUGUAUCCUAUGAGUCCCAUCGGUGUUUGUUUUUCUUUCAGGCAAUUUUUCUUCUAUUGGCUGGGAAUGCUUACCCAUUGCCUGUACAAUCAUUGUACCUUGGAAGUAGUUAACUUGCUUUAUAAUUCAGAGGCUCAUGGGCAGAAGGGACUGUAUCCUUGUCCCAGAUAAAACUUUGGGCUUUGGACAUUUGCUGGAAUGAGUUAAGAUUUGGGGGACUGUAGGGAAGUCAUCAUUGUAUUUUGCAACGUGAGAAAGACAUAUGAGAUUUGCAUGGGCAGGGACAGAAUAAUAUGACUUGGCUCUGUGUCCCACUGCUGUGAAAUUGUAACGGGAAAUGUUAAAGGUGGUGGGGGCUGGUGGAAGGUGAUUUAAUCAUGGUGGAGAGUGGAG